RNAcentral lists this ribosomal RNA (254 nucleotides) under uncultured bacterium. RNAcentral's name for it is "partial 16S ribosomal RNA". It matches the Rfam family "Bacterial small subunit ribosomal RNA", at positions 524 to 776 of the family's 1533-position model. The record is from RNAcentral.
UACGUAGGGGGCAAGCGUUGUCCGGAUUUACUGGGCGUAAAGCGUGCGUAGGCGGUUUCAUAAGCUUGAUGUGAAAGCCCCGGGCUCAACCUGGGAAUGGCAUUGAGGACUGUGGAGCUAGAGUGCGGCAGAGGGAGGUGGAAUUCCACGUGUAGCAGUGAAAUGCGUAGAGAUGUGGAGGAACACCGAUGGCGAAGGCAGCCUCCUGGGCCGACACUGACGCUGAGGGCACGAAAGCGUGGGGAGCAAACAGG